Fukomys damarensis (Damara mole-rat) is the source of this 684-nucleotide long non-coding RNA. RefSeq lists it as uncharacterized. The transcript has 3 exons. Lineage: Eukaryota; Metazoa; Chordata; Mammalia; Rodentia; Bathyergidae. The record is from RefSeq and is a predicted model, not a curated record.
CGCCGAGACAGUGGAAGCCAGUGAACAGCUCCUUCACUUGCCUGUCUCCAGGAGGAAAGUGCUGCCCAGCCGAGGAAGAGCAGGCACCAGCCUAAAGCUGGGUGGCACCGUCUCAGCCCAAGGCCUAUCUGUGCUCACAGGGUGUGAGUGCCUCUGCCUCUUCGGGGGACUCUGGAUGGGAUCCUGCCCAGCAAGAAGCAGAAGAUCCUGUUCUGCCUGAACAUGCACUUGUGGCUGUCCUCCCGGUAACAUCUGGAAAUGGCUCAGAACCUGAAGGUGGGGACCACCUGAGAACCUGUACACCAGGUGGCCUAGGUCAUGCAUGAAGAGGCCGGCAGGGCUGGCAUGGCAGCAUUAAAGGAGACCCUCAGAGCCACUGGCUGGCACACAGGACCAGGGAGGACAGUCCUAAUAUCCCUGAUUACUUUCCAUGGCUCUGCCAAGCCCAGCUCCAGGUGCCUCUUUCUACCGCGCCCACUGAUCCAGACCCCAUCACAUGCGUCCCACUGGGCGCUGUACUGGUUGGACUUCAUUCUUCUGGUCUCUGCAGGAUAUUGCUGAAUGGUGGCCCCAAAGACAUGUGCAUAUCCCAGUGCCCAGAACCUUGGAAUGGGGCUUUAUUUGAAAAAAAAAAGGUCUUCAAUGAUGUUAUCAGAUUAAGGAUUCUAAAUUGAAGUCACCCUG